CCUGGGGAGGCUCGCAAGCUAGCGGGGCCCGAUUCACGGGUGGGAGGGGCCGGGGCACCGCCUCCUCUCCUCCAGCCAUAGGCCCCUGCAGCCUUGGGACUGGUGAGAGGGAGACGGGUCCCCUCACAGGAAGCCUCAGCCAGAGGGUCACAUGGUGUGGGGACACAGGUGCACACACCAAGUGGCCAUUGGCGUGCACAUAGGCACCACGGGCACAGGCCAGUGUCUGCUCAAGCUCCCGGGCGCGGUGCCAUGAACUGACUGUACUGCUGGCCUCCCCGCCUUCCCCCGCACCCCACCUCCAUGCCGCCCCUCGCCCUCACUGUGAUUGCCGUGCCCUCAGGACACGGCCUGCCCUGGCUGCCGUGGCCGGGGGGCUGUCGCCCUCUCUGAGGCUUCCCGGAUUUGGCAGGAGCUGGAGGCCGUGGAGGAGCCGGUGCCCGAGGGGCCUGCGCCCCGGGGUCCCUGGGGGCCCCAGGACUGGGUGGGCCCCCCGCCAUGCGGCCCCCCCACCCCAGAUGAGGGCUGCCUCCGGUACUUUGUUCUGGGCACCGUGGCAGCCUUGGUGGCCCUCGUGCUCAACGUGUUCUAUCCUCUGGUGUCCCAGAGUCGCUGGAGAUGAGCUGGCCUCCGGCAGCUGCUGUGAGCCGCCCACCUGCCUGCUCACCAGGCACGCCUGCCUCUGGGGGACCAGCUCUGGGCUCGGGCCUCAGUGUGUGUGUCGGGAGGGAGAGGGGUCUGUCGUUCCUGCAGGGGCAGAGCAAACGAGGGUGGGUAUCCAUCCAGCUGUCGACCAUCCUGCUGCUCUGACCUUGGCCUGGCUUGGCCCCGCCCCCGAGCUUCCUGUACUUAAAGUGUUAAUAAAGCGAGACUGUCCAGGCUGA
Long non-coding RNA from Myotis lucifugus (little brown bat), 884 nucleotides. RefSeq lists it as uncharacterized. The transcript has 2 exons. Lineage: Eukaryota; Metazoa; Chordata; Mammalia; Chiroptera; Vespertilionidae. The record is from RefSeq and is a predicted model, not a curated record.